This is an RNA transcript of Erpetoichthys calabaricus (reedfish), 4490 nucleotides long. It is a transcript of the gene named ataxin 2, with no coding region annotated. Lineage: Eukaryota; Metazoa; Chordata; Cladistia; Polypteriformes; Polypteridae. The transcript is spliced from 25 exons. The record is from RefSeq and is a predicted model, not a curated record.
CUGCGCCCCGGUAUUUGGGAAAAAAACGAGUCGUUCACCUGAAACCUUCGAAGGAAUUGGUGGGAUCGGCCAAGCGGGAACCUCCGCACCCUUAAUCGGGGGCUGUCAAGAAGUGUCACGGCGAGAAAUUAGCAAUUAGCGAGAGGGACGCAACGUUGUGCCUUGGUGAUAUCCUUCCGCGAUUUUUUUGUCUCCUUUCAGACUGUUUUGGUCUUUUAGCCGAAUAGCAACGGAGAAAAGAAACUCAAGAGAGUUCGGGGGAAAAAAAUCGUAAAGAGGCGAGCGUACUAGCAAAAGCUGCGAUUGGCGAGUCUGACGUAGUGUCGGAGGUUGUCUGCUUUACUACACAUUAAAAGGACACUCGAGCUCUUAUUAUUAGUCUUAUUAUUUUCUGAAGAAGGAAACAGUUUUUUUUUUUUUUAGUUUUAAAGCAGACGUUUCGGCCUGUGAAUCCCAAACAAAAGCAAAGCAUCCAAUUCAAGUUGUUUAUGGGAGCAGCAUGUCAAUGAAGCAGGCCGGCGGCACCCGAAAACCCGGCGGCAGCGGCGGUCCUUCUGCGGCCUCAGGAGCAGGGGGGAGCGGUGGGCGACAGAGCCUCGCCAGGGGUCGCAACAGUGGAAAAGGUCCCCCGUCAGCCUCUAUACCGUUUGACGGUGUGUAUGCGAACAUGAGAAUGGUGCAUGUCCUAACAUCUGUUGUAGGUACAAAAUGUGAACUAAAAGUAAAAAAUGGAAUAGUCUAUGAAGGAGUUUUCAAAACCUACAGCCCCAAGUGUGACUUAGUACUGGAUGCAGUUCACCGUAAGUGCUUAGAUAGUGCUCUUGGUCCAAAGCGGGAGGACAUUGUGGAGAGCAUCAUUUUUAAAGCCUCGGACGUUGUCGUCGUGCAAUUCAAAGACGUAGACUUGAAUUAUGCAAGAAAAGAUACAUUUACUGAUUCUGCCAUCAAUGCUAGAAUAAACGGUGAACAUAAAGAAAAGGAUUUGGAGCCGUGGGACAGUGGAGAGAUGGCAAGUGAGGAUUUAGAAGCCUUGGAAACUGAUGUGUCCAAUGGCUGGGAUCCCAAUGACAUGUUCAAAUUUAAUGAAGAAAACUAUGGUGUUAAAUCUACUUAUGACAGCAGUCUCUCCUCUUACACUGUGCCUCUAGAGAGGGAUAAUUCAGAAGAGUUUUUGAAACGGGAAGCCCGCGCAGCCCAGCUGGCAGAAGAGAUCGAGUCCAGUGCCGUCUACAAGGCGCGAGUAGCACUAGAAAAUGAUGACCGCACAGAGGAGGAGAAGUACACGGCUGUGACGAGAAGUACCGAACGAGAGGGGCACAUUGGGAGUUUAAGAGACAAAUACGUUCCUCCUGGACAAAGAAAUCGAGAUGGCAUGUCCUGGGCAAGUGUACGACAGAGUUCUCCAAGAAUGACACAGCCAAGCUCUGUAUCUGCACCUCCACGUGCCGUCACUCACAAUUCCGAGUACAGCCCAAGCUCUGGAGUAGAACAGAGGGUAGUUAAUGGAGGUGUUCCCUGGCCAUCGCCUUGCCCAUCUCCUUCCUCUCGCCCACCUUCUCGCUACCAGUCAGGCCCCACCUCUCUUCCACCUCUGGCCGCCACACCUACCAGGCCCCCUUCCAGGCCGUCACGGCCUCCAUCUCACCCCUCUGCUCACGGCUCUCCAGCUCCUGUUUCUGCUAUGCCUAAACGCAUGUCUACUGAAGGUCCUCCCAGAAUGUCUCCUAAAACGCAGCGAACCCCCAGGGGCCACAGGGUCUCAACAGGACGGAGUGGUGUGUCUUCUAGUGUUGAGUUUAUGUCUCACACAGCAACUGCAGAAAUGUCGGCAGCACCUGCCGCUCGAACCAGCCCUUCAGGUGGGACGUGGUCAUCUGUGGUCAGCGGAAGUUCAAGUUCCCGGUUAUCUCCCAAAGCACACAGGCCUAAGUCUCCUCGACAGAACAGUGUUGGAAGUGCUUCUAGUGGUUCCUCGCUACCCUCUCCUCAAGUGGGUACCAUCCCUGCUGAGCCUGUAGCCAUGCCUGUUUCAUCAGCUUCACCCACGACCACCAGCCCUGCUCUAAACAGAACGAUUACGCCAUCAGUAGAAGCCAAAGAAUCCAGGCUUCAAGAACCACGGCAAAAUUCGCCCACUUCAGGCAGAGACAAUCUCAAGACAAAUGAGGCCUCGCCAAACUUCUCAAAACCUGUUACUAAGGCUGUUCCCUGCAUGGCCCCGGACCACAGAAAACAAAUUGAUAACUUAAAGAAAUUCAGCGUCGAUUUUCGAUUACAACCAAGUUCCACUCCUGACCCUGUGUUUGACCAGAUGAUCAGCAAACCUCGAGACCCUCCUGAAAAGUUGAAAGACUCGCAGUCAGAGAAGUCCGAGUCACUUAGUAAGGAGCUGCUGAUUGAGGACAACUCUGCCAGCAACACUACAGGGGGAAGCAGCGGCGGCAGCAGCAGUAGCAGCAGUAGUAAGCCCAGUAGCCCCAGCACUCCUCCGUCAACACUUUGCACUUUAGAGCAGCGAAAGGGACCAGAUGUUACCUCUCAGGGGGUCCAGACCUCUGGCCCGGGCAGCAAACAUGACAAAGAUGACAAGGAGGAAAAAGCAGACACCACCCCAGAACAGGUCAGGAAAUCCACUUUGAAUCCAAAUGCUAAGGAAUUUAACCCUAGGACAUUUUGUACACAACCUAAACCUGCAUCUACGCCUACUCCUCCACGUCCUCAAAGUCAGCAAAGUCCAUCCAUUGUAGUGCAGCAGCAUCCCACUGUGUACAGCCAGACGGUGUGCUUUCCGCAGAUGUACCCCCUUCCGGUUAGCCCAGGAGUGCAGCAGACUGCCAUGUACCACGUCCCAGUCGCACACAUGCCAGUGAACCAGACGAAGCCCUAUAGAGCAGGUAAAGUACCCAACAUGCCUCAACAACGACCUGACCAGCACCAUCCCCAAGGCACAACAGCCAUGAUGCACCCAGUGUCGGCAGCAGGACCGCCAAUUGUAACACCCAACCCUGCAUACUCGGCACAGUAUGUGACCUAUAACCCUCAGCAGUUUGCCAGUCAGCCUCUGGUUCAGCAAGUACCUCAUUAUCAAUCGCAGCCUCCACAUGUCUACAGCCCAGUGUUACAGAGUGGUGCUCGUAUGAUGGCUCCUCCAACGCAUGGCCAGCCUGGGCUGGUGUCGUCUUCUACUACACAGUAUGGGGCUGCUGACCAGACACAUGCAAUGUAUGUUUCGCCCGGUCCCAUCCCUCAGCAGUACACCCACCCCAGUGCUGCGCUGCACCAUCACCCUCAGCAUCCUCAGCCAUCGGCCACUCCAACGGGACAGCAGCAGCAACAGCAAACACCACACCCUGCCAGCCAUCCUGCUCCAAGCCCCGUUCAGCAUGCCCAGCAUCAAGCCGCUCAAGCUAUUCAUUUGGGGAACCCACAGCAACAGCCCCUCUACUCGACCCUGACCCCGACCCCUCCUUCGAUGACCCCAGGCCCCAACCCACAGUCUCCUCAGACUAGCUUCACCACUGCGGCCCCAGCUGUUUACAUUCACCCCCAACAGGUCCAGCAUGGCUACAAUACCUCGCACAUGGCACACGUUCCUCAGGCUCAUGUACAGUCCGGAAUGGUUCCACCUCAUCAUGCGACACCCACUCAUCCGCCUAUGAUGCUGAUGGCAACCCAGCCUCCCGGUGGACCCCAGCCUCCAAUUCCUCAGAGCGCACUGCCUCCUAUUCCUGUCUCCUCAACUACACACUUCUCAUACAUGGCACAUCCUUCAGGCUACCAUCAGUUAUGUCAGGUCAGUAGAAGAUGAGAUGACCUAUUAACCCUUUCCCACCUAUUGAUGACUUGGCCACCCCAUCAGUGCAAACCCACCAUCAACCCCAGUUAUAGGAAACACUAAACGGCUGCCGAGUUCGGCUUCCUCCCACGGACUCUCAGCCUGCUUCAGCAGAUCCAAAGAAACCGAUGGCUACGUGAUCAUCCUGCCAACCCCCUCCGCUUUCUUGUAAAGUCCGUAGGAAUGCUAAGAGGUCCGUCUGCGGUGGGCGGACCAUCGACAGACUUAAAAGACGUUUUUCAUGACGUGAAGGAAAUUUCCCCGUUUAAUUCUCGUUAUCAAGUUGUACAUAUUUGCCAUUCUGGACUCGACUGCUGAGAACUGGAAAGUUUCUUGUCACUUCACCCCAGCCCGGUAUGUUUCUAAAACUCUUCAUCUAGUGAACGAAUUAACACACCUGUUAAUUGCUGCUGCUCCGACUAGGACUUGGAAGACGAUUCAUCAUUCUAACCAAUCAGGAAAGGAAAAUAAAAGGAAGUUUGCAAAAAUCCCAUUUCAAGGAAAAAAAAAAAGUCUAUUUAUAAAUUGACUGUGGAGUUUACCUCUCAUCACCAGACAGUGAAUUAAUUUUUAAGUUAAAGAACUUUUACUUUGUAGAUAAUAUAAAUAAAAUUUAAAAAAGAAAUUAAAAAAUAAAAAAAGUUUUAAAAACUGA